AUUGAACGCUGGCGGCAUGCUUUACACAUGCAAGUCGAACGGUAACAGGCCUUCGGGUGCUGACGAGUGGCGAACGGGUGAGUAAUGCAUCGGAACGUGCCCAAUCGUGGGGAUAACGUAGCGAAAGUUACGCUAAUACCGCAUAAGCCCUGAGGGGGAAAGCAGGGGAUCGCAAGACCUUGCGCGAAUGGAGCGGCCGAUGUCAGAUUAGCUAGUUGGUGGGGUAAAGGCCUACCAAGGCGACGAUCUGUAGCGGGUCUGAGAGGAUGAUCCGCCACACUGGGACUGAGACACGGCCCAGACUCCUACGGGAGGCAGCAGUGGGGAAUUUUGGACAAUGGGCGCAAGCCUGAUCCAGCCAUGCCGCGUGCGGGACGAAGGCC
This 383-nucleotide ribosomal RNA is filed under the name uncultured bacterium. Its description in RNAcentral is "bacterial SSU rRNA". It matches the Rfam family "Bacterial small subunit ribosomal RNA", at positions 29 to 416 of the family's 1533-position model. The record is from RNAcentral.